This 402-nucleotide long non-coding RNA is filed under the name Prunus persica (peach). Its description in RNAcentral is "long non-coding RNA (PPER_LNC003886)". The record is from RNAcentral. Lineage: Eukaryota; Viridiplantae; Streptophyta; Magnoliopsida; Rosales; Rosaceae.
UAAGGGAAAAGGUAACGUAAAAACAGAAAAAUUGCAUUGGUUCAUUGAUUCACUGAAUAAGUUUAUUACCAAAAGUUUUAUUAGGAGUCCUAUUACAAUUAUAGCUAUUCCAUUUAGUUUUGAUAUGCAAAAUCAGUGGGAGUUGAGUUCUAUUCCACUUAAUUUCAUUCUUUUUUUUUUUUUGAGACAGUUCAAUUAUUUUGUGUAUUGAUAUUUAGUUUAGUUCUUUUAUUGGAUUGUGUGACUUCAAUUUUUAUGUUUACUAUUAUUUGACAAAUAAAUCCAGUUACAUGUCAUCAUGCAGUAUAAAUAGCUCCAGUCCAUGCAUAAGACAUGAGAUCGUGACAAUGUCAUUAUUUUGCUUAUGCAAAAGGAGAGAUCUUGGUAGUCUCUUAAGGAAGG